GACGAACGCUGGCGGCGUGCUUAACACAUGCAAGUCGAACGGAAAGGCCCUGCUUUUGUGGGGUUCUCGAGUGGCGAACGGGUGAGUAACACGUGAGUAACCUGCCCUUGACUUUGGGAUAACUUCAGGAAACUGGGGCUAAUACCGGAUAGGAGCUCCUGCUGCAUGGUGGGGGUUGGAAAGUUUCGGCGGUUGGGGAUGGACUCGCGGCUUAUCAGCUUGUUUGGGGGGUAGUGGCUUACCAAGGGUUUGACGGGUAGCCGGCCUGGGAGGGUGACCGGCCACAUUGGGACUACGGUACGGCGCAGACUCCUACGGGAGGCAGCAGGGGGAAAUAUUGCACAAUGGGCGGAAGCCUGAUGCAGCAACGCCGCGUGCGGGAUGACGGCCUUCGGGUUAUAAACCGCUUUCGCCUGUGACGAAGCGUGAGUGACGGUAAUGGGUAAAGAAGCACCGGCUAACUACGUG
RNAcentral lists this ribosomal RNA (468 nucleotides) under uncultured bacterium. RNAcentral describes it as "partial 16S ribosomal RNA". It matches the Rfam family "Bacterial small subunit ribosomal RNA", at positions 28 to 507 of the family's 1533-position model. The record is from RNAcentral.